Molecule: transfer RNA, 72 nt
Filed under: Polypedates megacephalus (Hong Kong whipping frog)
Lineage: Eukaryota; Metazoa; Chordata; Amphibia; Anura; Rhacophoridae
Description: tRNA-Leu
Source: RNAcentral
GCUUUUAAUGGAAAAAAGUCUUCCACUGGCUUUAGGCGCCAACAACUCUUGGUGCAAACCCAAGUAAAAGCU